Molecule: ribosomal RNA, 611 nt
Filed under: uncultured Burkholderia sp.
Lineage: Bacteria; Pseudomonadati; Pseudomonadota; Betaproteobacteria; Burkholderiales; Burkholderiaceae
Description: bacterial SSU rRNA
Rfam family: Bacterial small subunit ribosomal RNA
Source: RNAcentral
GCCGGGUUAAUACCGCAUACGCUCUACGGAGGAAAGGGGGGGAUCUUAGGACCUCCCGCUACAGGGGCGGCCGAUGGCAGAUUAGCUAGUUGGUGGGGUAAAGGCCUACCAAGGCGACGAUCUGUAGCUGGUCUGAGAGGACGACCAGCCACACUGGGACUGAGACACGGCCCAGACUCCUACGGGAGGCAGCAGUGGGGAAUUUUGGACAAUGGGCGAAAGCCUGAUCCAGCAAUGCCGCGUGUGUGAAGAAGGCCUUCGGGUUGUAAAGCACUUUUGUCCGGAAAGAAAACGUCGUGGUUAAUACCCGUGGCGGAUGACGGUACCGGAAGAAUAAGCACCGGCUAACUACGUGCCAGCAGCCGCGGUAAUACGUAGGGUGCAAGCGUUAAUCGGAAUUACUGGGCGUAAAGCGUGCGCAGGCGGUUCGCUAAGACAGAUGUGAAAUCCCCGGGCUUAACCUGGGAACUGCAUUUGUGACUGGCGGGCUAGAGUAUGGCAGAGGGGGGUAGAAUUCCACGUGUAGCAGUGAAAUGCGUAGAGAUGUGGAGGAAUACCGAUGGCGAAGGCAGCCCCCUGGGCCAAUACUGACGCUCAUGCACGAAAGCGUG